This 253-nucleotide ribosomal RNA is filed under the name uncultured bacterium. RNAcentral's name for it is "partial 16S ribosomal RNA". It matches the Rfam family "Bacterial small subunit ribosomal RNA", at positions 524 to 776 of the family's 1533-position model. The record is from RNAcentral.
UACGAAGGGGGCUAGCGUUGCUCGGAAUCACUGGGCGUAAAGCGCACGUAGGCGGCUUCUUAAGUCAGGGGUGAAAUCCUGGAGCUCAACUCCAGAACUGCCUUUGAUACUGGGAGGCUCGAGUCCGGGAGAGGUGAGUGGAACUGCGAGUGUAGAGGUGAAAUUCGUAGAUAUUCGCAAGAACACCAGUGGCGAAGGCGGCUCACUGGCCCGAUACUGACGCUGAGGUGCGAAAGCGUGGGGAGCAAACAGG